GGCUCGGGGUCCCGGGUGGAGGCAGGGCCUUCUCUCUGCCCGCUGUGAGCCUCUCUGCGAAAGCUGCCAGAACAAACCGUGUCCUUUCUCCAGAGGAGAAACGUGUACGCGGUUGUGGACAACGGCCGCAGCGCCCCCUUCUCUCCGACGUGGCGAUUGCGAUAUGGCUAAAGAGUGAUGGUUGAUGAUUGAGGAAAAAUGUCUGAUGUUUAAUGAUGGAUGUUGUGAACCAGUUAGCCAGAUACUCCAGUGUAUGAAGAGAAAUUGAGAUCAACGUCUUAAACUCAAAAGCUCCUCUGAAGUGGUCUGAGCAAGAGAUGGAAUAUUCUGGAAACUCUAUCAGAUUCACAGGAUGGCAGCCCUUGAUGUGAAUCAGAGGAAAUGAAACUCGAAGAGGCAAGGAUGGUGGCUGGGUUACUGAUGGAUUCUUCUCAGAGAUGUGAUGUUGGAGAACUACCAGAAUCUCAUCACACUAGGUAAGCAUCGUUUCUUCACUGAACCCCUUAUGAAAAAAAUGUUUCUUAAGU
Lynx canadensis (Canada lynx) is the source of this 527-nucleotide long non-coding RNA. RefSeq lists it as uncharacterized. The transcript is spliced from 4 exons. NCBI's taxonomy places the organism in Eukaryota, Metazoa, Chordata, Mammalia, Carnivora, Felidae. The record is from RefSeq and is a predicted model, not a curated record.